RNAcentral lists this ribosomal RNA (253 nucleotides) under uncultured bacterium. RNAcentral describes it as "partial 16S ribosomal RNA". It matches the Rfam family "Bacterial small subunit ribosomal RNA", at positions 524 to 776 of the family's 1533-position model. The record is from RNAcentral.
UACGUAGGGUGCGAGCGUUGUCCGGAAUUAUUGGGCGUAAAGAGCUCGUAGGCGGUCUGUCGCGUCGAAUGUGAAAACCCGGGGCUCAACUCCGGGCUUGCAUUCGAUACGGGCAGGCUAGAGUUCGGUAGGGGAGUCUGGAAUUCCUGGUGUAGCGGUGAAAUGCGCAGAUAUCAGGAGGAACACCGGUGUCGAAGGCGGGACUCUGGGCCGAUACUGACGCUGAGGAGCGAAAGCGUGGGGAGCGAACAGG